Long non-coding RNA from Sphaeramia orbicularis (orbiculate cardinalfish), 733 nucleotides. RefSeq lists it as uncharacterized. The transcript is spliced from 3 exons. The record is from RefSeq and is a predicted model, not a curated record. NCBI's taxonomy places the organism in Eukaryota, Metazoa, Chordata, Actinopteri, Kurtiformes, Apogonidae.
UCUUUUCAUCCCCUCUGCGCUCCGGUCGUUCCUGUUUUAAACUUUCCUUUCAAGGAGACGUUUGUGCGAAUAUUUUUAUUCAAUAAUCCGGCACGUGUUUCUCCUACAACUUGGAAGAAGGGAUUAAUUAUUUAUUUUUUAUUUAUUUUUUUUAAUUUCCUGUCUCAUUGUUGGUGCAGGACGCGUCUUCUUUUAUUUUUUUGGUGCGCGCUGAAACCCAAAUGGACCGCAAAACGCGUCCGGUGCGUCCGCCCUGUCCAUCUGCAGACGCGUCCGGAACAAACUGAGCCCCCCCCCCCCCCCACACACACACACACUUGUCUCUUAAGUCCGUGGGGUCUUUUCUUGCACAAUAAUCCUUCGUGGACAUACUGUUAUCAGCGUUUAAAGAUUAAAAAGAAAAAAAAAAAAAAAAAAAAAAGAGGAUGUAGCUGGAAAACACGGGCAUGACACGGCGCGAGGACGCAAGAGGACAGUGGGAAGUGUUCAACAACUGGAAACAAAUCCACCACGGGGAGGUGAGAGAGCUGCGCUGUGGAUUUUACGCGUGAAUUUUUAGUCGAAAUCUGAGGACACUUUAACGCAAAAAAGGAUCCGCAUCUGAGGUUCAACCGACGCGCACAUUGGCAUUGAGGAUCAUCUACUAAAAAGGUUCUGGAGCUGGUACCCGUGCACCUUCAAUGGCAGCUCACUGCUCCUGAUGUGUAAACGCUGAUGCUAAUGCCAAUGCUAG